Molecule: ribosomal RNA, 458 nt
Filed under: uncultured bacterium
Lineage: Bacteria
Description: partial 16S ribosomal RNA
Rfam family: Bacterial small subunit ribosomal RNA
Source: RNAcentral
CCUACGGGAGGCAGCAGUGGGGAAUAUUGCACAAUGGGGGAAACCCUGAUGCAGCGACGCCGCGUGAGUGAAGAAGUAUUUCGGUAUGUAAAGCUCUAUCAGUAGGGAAGAAAUAGCGACCUUUGGGUCGCCAGACGGUACCUGACUAAGAAGCCCCGGCUAACUACGUGCCAGCAGCCGCGGUAAUACGCAGGGGGCAAGCGUUAUCCGGAUUUACUGGGUGUAAAGGGAGUGUAGACGGCAGCGCAAGUCUGAAGUGAAAUGCCGGGGCUUAACCCCGGAACUGCUUUUGAAACUGUGCAGCUAGAGUGCGGGAGAGGUAGGUGGAAUUCCUGGUGUAGCGGUGAAAUGCGUAGAUAUUAGGAGGAACACCAGUGGCGAAGGCGGCUUACUGGACUGUAACUGACGUUGAGGCUCGAAAGCGUGGGGAGCAAACAGGAUUAGAUACCCCAGUAGUC